This 700-nucleotide ribosomal RNA is filed under the name Scopulariopsis sp. M7-2-1. RNAcentral describes it as "SSU rRNA". It matches the Rfam family "Eukaryotic small subunit ribosomal RNA", at positions 229 to 934 of the family's 1831-position model. Lineage: Eukaryota; Fungi; Ascomycota; Sordariomycetes; Microascales; Microascaceae. The record is from RNAcentral.
CCCUUCGGGGCUCUGUGGUGAUUCAUAAUAACUGGUCGAAUCGCAUGGCCUUGCGCCGGCGAUGGUUCAUUCAAAUUUCUUCCCUAUCAACUUUCGAUGCGAGGGUCUUGUCCUCGCAUGGUUGCAACGGGUAACGGAGGGUUAGGGCUCGACCCCGGAGAAGGAGCCUGAGAAACGGCUACUACAUCCAAGGAAGGCAGCAGGCGCGCAAAUUACCCAAUCCCGACACGGGGAGGUAGUGACAAUAAAUACUGAUACAGGGCUCUUUUGGGUCUUGUAAUCGGAAUGAGUACAAUUUAAAUCCCUUAACGAGGAACAAUUGGAGGGCAAGUCUGGUGCCAGCAGCCGCGGUAAUUCCAGCUCCAAUAGCGUAUAUUAAAGUUGUUGUGGUUAAAAAGCUCGUAGUCGAACCUUGGGCCUGGCUGGCCGGUCCCCCUCACCGGGUGCACUGAUCCAGCCGGGCCUUUCCCUCUGUGGAACCCCAUGGCCUUCACUGGCUGUGCGGGGGAAACAGGACUUUUACUGUGAAAAAAUUAGAGUGCUCCAGGCAGGCCUAUGCUCGAAUACAUUAGCAUGGAAUAAUAGAAUAGGACGUGUGGUUCUAUUUUGUUGGUUUCUAGGACCGCCGUAAUGAUUAAUAGGGACAGUCGGGGGCAUCAGUAUUCAGUUGUCAGAGGUGAAAUUCUUGGAUCUACUGAAG